GCAGUCGAGCGAAGCAAUUUAAGUGAAGUUUUCGGAUGGAUCUUAAAUUGACUGAGCGGCGGACGGGUGAGUAACGCGUGGAUAACCUGCCUCACACAGGGGGAUAACAGUUAGAAAUGACUGCUAAUACCGCAUAAGCGCACGGUACCGCAUGGUACAGUGUGAAAAACUCCGGUGGUGUGAGAUGGAUCCGCGUCUGAUUAGGUAGUUGGUGAGGUAACGGCCCACCAAGCCGACGAUCAGUAGCCGACCUGAGAGGGUGACCGGCCACAUUGGGACUGAGACACGGCCCAAACUCCUACGGGAGGCAGCAGUGGGGAAUAUUGCACAAUGGGCGAAAGCCUGAUGCAGCAACGCCGCGUGAGUGAAGAAGUAUCUCGGUAUGUAAAGCUCUAUCAGCAGGGAAGAAAAUGACGGUACCUGACUAAGAAGCCCCGGCUAACUACGUGCCGGCAGCCGCGGUAAUACGUAGGGGGCAAGCGUUAUCCGGAUUUACUGGGUGUAAAGGGAGCGCAGACGGCACUGCAAGUCUGAAGUGAAAGCCCGGGGCUCAACCCCGGGACUGCUUUGGAAACUGUAGAGCUAGAGUGCUGGAGAGGCAAGCGGAAUUCCUAGUGUAGCGGUGAAAUGCGUAGAUAUUAGGAAGAACACCAGUGGCGAAGGCGGCUUGCUGGACAGUAACUGACGUUCAGGCUCGAAAGCGUGNGGAGCAAACAGGANUAGAUACCCUGGUAGUCCACGCUGUAAACGAUGAAUACUAGGUGUUGGUGGGCAAAGCCCAUC
Molecule: ribosomal RNA, 783 nt
Filed under: uncultured bacterium
Lineage: Bacteria
Description: bacterial SSU rRNA
Rfam family: Bacterial small subunit ribosomal RNA
Source: RNAcentral